RNAcentral lists this ribosomal RNA (332 nucleotides) under uncultured bacterium. Its description in RNAcentral is "bacterial SSU rRNA". It matches the Rfam family "Bacterial small subunit ribosomal RNA", at positions 168 to 507 of the family's 1533-position model. The record is from RNAcentral.
CCCCAACGAAGGCAUCCCGAAUGGGAUUAAAGAUUUUAUCGGUGAUGGAUGGGGAUGCGUCUGAUUAGCUUGUUGGCGGGGUAACGGCCCACCAAGGCUACGAUCAGUAGGGGUUCUGAGAGGAAGGUCCCCCACAUUGGAACUGAGACACGGUCCAAACUCCUACGGGAGGCAGCAGUGAGGAAUAUUGGUCAAUGGGCGAGAGCCUGAACCAGCCAAGUAGCGUGCAGGAUGACGGCCCUAUGGGUUGUAAACUGCUUUUAUAAGGGAAUAAAGUGGGUCUCGUGAGACUUUUGCAUGUACCUUAUGAAUAAGGACCGGCUAAUUCCGUG